This 507-nucleotide ribosomal RNA is filed under the name uncultured bacterium. RNAcentral describes it as "bacterial SSU rRNA". It matches the Rfam family "Bacterial small subunit ribosomal RNA", at positions 29 to 507 of the family's 1533-position model. The record is from RNAcentral.
GCGAACGCUGGCGGCGUGGCUAAAGCAUGCAAGUUGUGCGGGUCUGUACAUGAGGGUAACCAAUUGUACAGCUAGCGGCGAAAGGGUGAGUAACGCGUGGGUAACGUACCCUUAACUCGAGAAUAGCUGUCCGAAAGGUCAGGUAAUGCUCGAUGACGCUUCUCCGGGACAUCCUGGAGAAGCCAAAGGUGGCCUCUUCUUGAAAGCUGCCGGUUUUGGAGCGGCCCGCGUCAUAUCAGCUUGUUGGUAGGGUAAUGGCCUACCAAGGCUAAGACGUGUAGUUGGUCUGAGAGGACGACCAGCCACAUCGGGACUGAGACACUGCCCGGACCUCCACGGAGGGCUGCAGCAACGAAUAUUCCGCAAUGCGCGAAAGCGUGACGGAGCGACGCCGCGUGUGGGACGAAGCCUUUCGGGGUGUAAACCACUGUCAGGAGGAACCAAGCAAAGGGUGUAAAUAGCGCCCGGCGUUGAGGGAUCCCAGAGGAAGCCACGGCUAACUCCGUG